UCUUGGCCAUGAAAAUUUUCAACUGAUGCACUAAAUUCUGAGAUAGUUACACAUUUAAAUGCAGUAUGACCACAUUUCUCAUAAAAUAAUGCAUUUAAAAUUAAUAGGCAAUAUUUGCAUUUUAUAGGUGUGUCAGAUAUGUUUUCUCUAUUUUGGUGUGCUCUGCAAUUUUAUAUAGCCCCAUUUCAGGUGGCCAUUGUGAGCUACAAGUGUUUCCAUCCUGUACGUAAGACCAGUUUUGCCUUACACACAGGGACACUGCUGCUUUAUGUAACUUCUGCUCUGUACCCUAAAUGUAGCAGUAAAGCUUGGGUAGCUUAAUGCAGCACACACGGAGAGGAUGCAGUUGGAAAGGAGAAGAGUUCCGGGGAAGUUCAGGGGCACGCACUGGUAGCAUUUGAGACCCAGAAUGGUGACAGAUUGAUGGCCUGCCCAAGGGGAGAGGGAAGAGGUGGAUGCAAAGGGGUGCAAGGCAGCACCGGCUGCCAUAAGCCAGCAUGAUGACCCGGUGUGCAUUUGUUGAAGUGAGAGAGGGAAAAGAAGAAUCUCUUUUCCUCUUCUUCCCCCCUCAGCGUGUGGUCUGGUCCGGACCAUAGUCCUGUGCUAUAUGGCAGAUGUAUAGCAGGACACUUGGAGGCAGGCACAUGGAAUCUUUCAGGGUGCUUUGGGGCUGGGAGGGUGCUCCGGUGCUGGGUGACACAGCAAACCUCCGAGACUUUGUAGUGUCAAAUAUUAUUGUGAACGGGUGGCCCAGGGAUGGCAAUAAUGGAAGAAGAUGCCUUUGGGUGGGAGGUGUACAGGCAGGAAGCAACAGAAAUCUUACUCCAAGUGUAAGACAAGUGACUUACCUAGAUACAGCAAGCAGCUAAAAAAACCAAAUCCAAACCCCAAGCAAUUUUGUCACGCUCAUCAUCAGGAUAAGUAGUGGUCUCAGCACACCAGGUGCCUCAGCACCGUCAGUGCUUGUGGAGGCAACAGACCAAAGCAUAAAUGUGUUCGUGCAAGGGAAUUGGGAGGCCAGAACCUGAGUCUUCCAAAGCCCCAGGUUGAUGUUCUGCCUUGCUAAGCAAGCCUGCUGGCUUGGUGACGCCAUCUGCAUCUACCCACUGCCCCUGCGUAACGCCGGCGGUACCCCUGGGAGCAGCUGCUGUCAGACCUGAACUCGCCCUUCAGUGAAGCGCUGAACAGGUGCACCUAGGAUUUCCGAGUAAGGCAUGCUCAUCUUUAAAAUAAUAUUCUUCUGAGGUUAGGCACUUUCCUUCGCUUAUGUGAGAAAUCAUCUCUCAGUACCACGAGGGGAAGUUGAGGGAGGGGAAGGCAGGCAUCUCGGAACGGGACUUUUUAAGUCCCGCUACGUGCAGUUGUGCUGGGAAGCCUGAGGGGUUUUUGUCUCAGCUCUCAGCGUUGGGGUGUGUGUCACUGAUGGGCCUGUGUGAGACCAGAGCUGUCCCCACCCCUGUCACCUUGUGGCUUCAGAAGUUGUGUUCCACCUCCAGAGGAGAUGGGACCAUGUGCUGUGUCGCCAGCAUAUGUGAGAGAAAUGAACAGUCCAGACGAACUGAAAUAAUAACCCUCUGGAGGGUGUCCGCUCCUUCUGGGUUGGAUCAGUCUCUCAGGGGGUCCUUCCCCACCGGCUCCCCAGUGCGUUUCAGGUGAAGAUCCAAAGAUCUUAGCUUCUAUUGAUAUUUAAUUGCUCAUCUCUAUCAGCAGGGUAGUUUGCCAUAAGCCAUAUCAAUCCAGUCACAAAGGCAAACAAACUAACAAUCACUUGAGUCCUUUAUAUAUUGGCAGGCAAAGCAAGACCUCGCCUCUUCUCCAUUCUGUAUACAUAUCAUUUUUCUGCACCCUUCAAACCCAGGAAUUCGAUAGCCAAGACCAACAUUUCUGUCAGUAAACCCAGUGUGUAGAUCUGCUCCUUUCCUGAAUAUUCAAACAUGCGGCCACAUCAGCACUGCUCAUUUGGAUGCUGACAAGGGUCAUAAUUUUAUUCUUUAUCUCCCACUUCACCUGCUUCUGAGUGCCAAAGUAAGGGAGGAAACAGCAUACCGAGGAGCUCGGUGGUGUUGAUGACAACCUUACAAUGCUGGACUGUUCAUCAGGGUGUCAUGGGAGGAUGAGGAGGAGCAAGAAGCACAGCGGAGCGUCCCUGCCCUGCAGCCCUGGCUGGCCGAUGGGCUGGUCGUGCCAGUGGUGGCGGGAGGGAGACGCGGCACAAAGCCGAAGGGCAGAAUUUUCCAUGCCAGGCAACACAACCCCCCAAGACAUUGUUUUCCGGUACAUGAGCAGAAGCUUUUGGAUGCUGCAGAAGAGUUCCCCUCUGUCUCAUAUGAAGCUGCUGUAAAGGAUUUGCCAAUGCCUUGAUGUUCUCCCACCCAAAGGGAAUUAAUUGCCAAGAUGGAAUGAAGAGCACAGCACAGAGAGCAGGCAUGGUCCAGAUCUCACAGGACUAAUUAUGCUUUUAAAGGGACUGAACUGCUAACCACAGGAGCUGCUCCGGAAAAGCCUGCAGGAGGUGGGCUGGCUCAGGGACCCCUCACCCUCCCCAGUACUGGCUCUUCACGUUUUCUUCCUACGCUUUCCCAACAGCAACUUACUUUUUUCAAACUCUUCCUGGAGAAUCAGCAAAUGAGAAUGUAUCAUCACAACACUGAAUUAAGGGCCAAGGAAAAUACUGUUGGUAAGAAGCUGGAUACACUGAAGAUAUUAAAGGCUGAUGGACCAGAACCUCUGGCAUCCAUACCUGUGACAAAUGAAAAAGACUCAACUCCUGCAAAGACAAGCUGUGACAACUGCCGGGUGUCAACUGCAAACUUAGUGAUGAUUCACCACACCAAGGCCGAGACGUGUAUCCCUGUACCAUGGUUUUAAGAACGGGAGCUACAUCUGAACGCCAGAGCCCUCUGCUCAGUACCAUCGGACAAGAGAAGGGAUUUAAGAGCAACAUCAGGCUCUCUCCUGUGCUGAAGGCUUGAUGAGCCCAACGGCUUCCCCAGCACAAGUGGCGAGGCUAGGUGCAGAGAGAGGGGAACCUGGAAUUGUUGUGGGAGAUGGGAGCGUACAGUCUGACACACCACACAGUAUGCUUUCAGGGCAGCUCCCCUCUAUGGAACUAGGUGGCUUAUCCUACAUCCACAGGUAUUUCUUGCCAAUACAACUCAGAACACGGCACAGUCAGACCUUCAGUGCGUAUCUUUUAUGCAGGAACGUAUCGUGUGGGAUCCAGCUGUAUGCAGCUCAUCAGGAACACCCUCAGCUGUGCUCUUAAACACACUUCAGACAUGACAUAUUUAAAUACUUGUACAUUUGUGUGCCAAUCAGAUUUAGAGUAGCAAUGUGAUUUCUAACUUUAGAUGUAGCAGUGUGACUUCUAUCGAGACAAUGAGCAUGUCCUACAGUAGGUAAGAAGAAAAAGGUUAAAGAGUAUCAGUUUGAUAUAUGUGGUACUAAUAAAUACACCUGGCCAGCAAAUGAAACCACCCAUCGAUUAAAUCUUGGGUUGUUUGGUUUCUUUCAAAAUGUUAUACAUUUGGGUUAGAGUUACACGUUUCUAUACAGUAAGUGUUACAUACAUCUGGGUGAGAGCCCAAGAGCUGGCAGCGCAGCUCCCCAGCUGUGUUUGCAUGAGGAGGACAAGGCGUUUAGUGUACCAUUGAUGGUAAAAGGACCAUGGUUUAUGAGACGUUGUCAGAAUAUGAUUUAACAUCUUUUGACAAAGGAGACACUACUGAAAUGCUUUAGAUGUGGUACUGUGCAUCCUCUGAACUUGCUGCCUUGCAAUUAAGACAGCAAAAAGCAAACUGUGGAUUGU
Falco peregrinus (peregrine falcon) is the source of this 3808-nucleotide long non-coding RNA. RefSeq lists it as uncharacterized. The record is from RefSeq and is a predicted model, not a curated record. The transcript is spliced from 8 exons. Lineage: Eukaryota; Metazoa; Chordata; Aves; Falconiformes; Falconidae.